Molecule: long non-coding RNA, 1728 nt
Filed under: Mus musculus (house mouse)
Lineage: Eukaryota; Metazoa; Chordata; Mammalia; Rodentia; Muridae
Description: RIKEN cDNA 6030445D17 gene
Source: RNAcentral
CUUGCCCUGUUCCAAGGACUGUCUCACACACACACACCCUCAACACACACACACGCGCACAUGCACACACACACACACACACACACACACACACACACACACACACACCCGCGCGUUCCCGGCAGAGGAGGACCCCGAGUUCACAAGACGCGGCUUCCUGGCCGCAUUCCGGAGAAGGAGCUUUGCGCCGCAAGUCCCAUCCCCCGGUCGUCCGGCUCAGGAAACGCAGAGAAAGCCAGGAACCCGGCCUGCCAGGCCCCGGGGCCCUCCGCCCCGUCCUUCGGCUUCAGGAAGCGCGCUGGCGGGAACGCCCUGCCCGUGGGUGGGAAAAGCUCGAGCCGCUGCAUCGCGGCGUCCCUGGGUGCAGCGAGCUGUCACCGCCGCCGCCGCACGCCCCUGCCGCAGCCCCAUCCCUGCGCCAGUGCGGCAGCCGCGUGGCCGGGAUCCUGCAGGCGCCACCGCGCGGGGGUGCAGGCAGGGAAGGCGUGGACCCAGAGCUCGCUUUGAGGGGGCGACCUGCUUAGGGUGUGUGGGUGAGUGCUCCACUGGGUCGCUAGGACAUUGCUAGACCGGUUGGCAUUAGACUCCGGGUGUCUCUUUGAGUCUCAACUUGUGCUUGGCUCCCGGAAAUUUAGUUUCUUAAUGGUGGAGAUCUCAAAAACUGUUCCGGACCUAGAGACUACUGUGAUGGGCAGACCGUGAUCCCUUUUCACCAAUGAGAGUCAAGGAAGAAAAAGAUGGAGGACAUGAAAGGGCGGUGCUUUCGAGUAUAGCCUGAGCGUUGGAACCAGUCAUUCCCGGGCUCAGGACCCAGCUUUCCCCCUUACUGUGUGAUCUUAAGUAGGUUCCUUAACUUCUCUGAGCUUCCGGGCCAUGUCCUUUUUAAAGAGUCUUUCAACUCUAAACCCAGUUAGGUUUCCCCACUGCACCCUUCUAGCCCACAUGGCCUGAUUCCUUGAGACACUUAGUGUCAAUAGUAUUAAACAAUUGUUAAUCGGUGCCUUGUCUUUCCACUUCAGAAGCACACAAAGUUCAGGAAGAUAGGGACCUUCGCUAAAGUAAGACUGUGUAGCGCUGACACGCGUUAAACAUCCAGGCAUUUGUUGCGAAGUGAAGAGCGAAGGGAUGCAGAGAUGCGCGCCAGAUGCCGCUUUAAGGGCGGAAAAGCACCAGAAAUGAAUAAACACCAUUCCUAUCGUCAAGGAGGUCCCAGACUGGCUAGGAAGGGGAAUGAAACGGACUUGUGCAAAGAAGAUGGUCCUAAGUGUGUGCUAACAGGGCUUAAACAGGCCUGGAGAGAAACACUAAUGGGGGAGCAGCCGGAAAGACAGAGUUGAGAGACACCGGGUCCCUAGAGUGCUGGGAUAAUGGAUCUCACUUCCAUCACAAUGUACAAAGUACUUAGUUUGCAUAAAGUAUGGACGUACCUUUUUUAUCCUAAGGAAGUGGGGGAAUUGAUGGAGACUACCGACUUGUUCAAGUCCUCCUCCCCUUUUGGAGGCGGGGAGCUGCGCUGAAGAUGAAUUCCCAAAGCCUUGUGCACGCUGAUGACCAUUGAGAUAGAUACAUACAUCCUCAGCUUUAAGGCCUCAGCUACUCAUGCGCACCACUUUUGGUUUAGGUCCAAAUAAACUGGUGAUUUUAGGUAAGGAGCAUUGCUUCUCUGACUUGCUUUACCUCUAAGCCUGUUUGCCAAAACUAGAAAGAGUAAUAAAGGCUUCCUAUAAC